RNAcentral lists this ribosomal RNA (230 nucleotides) under uncultured bacterium. Its description in RNAcentral is "partial 16S ribosomal RNA". It matches the Rfam family "Bacterial small subunit ribosomal RNA", at positions 524 to 753 of the family's 1533-position model. The record is from RNAcentral.
UACGGAGGGGGCGAGCGUUAUUCGGAAUUAUUGGGCGUAAAGGGCGCGUAGGCGGCUGUACAAGUCAAAGGUGAAAUCCCUCGGCUCAACUGAGGAACUGCCUUUGAAACUGUACGGCUUGAGGCCGGGAGGGGGUAGCGGAAUUCCCAGUGUAGCGGUGAAAUGCGUAGAUACUGGGAGGAACACCAGUGGCGAAGGCGGCUACCUGGACCGGUUCUGACGCUGAGGCG